AUUAAAAUACAAAAAUCCCUUAUUUUCCCCCAAUUCAACUUAACCGGAUACUUUAUUAUUUGGAAGCCAAAUCAGACCUUUCCCAUUCCCUAAUUUUCGCCCUCAAUCUCUCCCAUUACAAUUUCAGUUAUCAAAUUCAAAUAAUUUUGAAUUUCAAAAGAAUCCUAUCACUAUUCAACCGGAUUCAGAGUUCAAAUUAGGUUUUCUCAUC
RNAcentral lists this long non-coding RNA (211 nucleotides) under Solanum tuberosum (potato). RNAcentral describes it as "long non-coding RNA (STUB_LNC002842)". Lineage: Eukaryota; Viridiplantae; Streptophyta; Magnoliopsida; Solanales; Solanaceae. The record is from RNAcentral.